AGGAAGGCGAUAAGGUUAAUAACCUUGUCGAUUGACGUUACCCGCAGAAGAAGCACCGGCUAACUCCGUGCCAGCAGCCGCGGUAAUACGGAGGGUGCAAGCGUUAAUCGGAAUUACUGGGCGUAAAGCGCACGCAGGCGGUCUGUCAAGUCGGAUGUGAAAUCCCCGGGCUCAACCUGGGAACUGCAUUCGAAACUGGCAGGCUAGAGUCUUGUAGAGGGGGGUAGAAUUCCAGGUGUAGCGGUGAAAUGCGUAGAGAUCUGGAGGAAUACCGGUGGCGAAGGCGGCCCCCUGGACAAAGACUGACGCUCAGGUGCGAA
This 320-nucleotide ribosomal RNA is filed under the name Klebsiella pneumoniae. RNAcentral's name for it is "bacterial SSU rRNA". It matches the Rfam family "Bacterial small subunit ribosomal RNA", at positions 445 to 757 of the family's 1533-position model. The record is from RNAcentral. Lineage: Bacteria; Pseudomonadati; Pseudomonadota; Gammaproteobacteria; Enterobacterales; Enterobacteriaceae.